RNAcentral lists this long non-coding RNA (848 nucleotides) under Zonotrichia albicollis (white-throated sparrow). Its description in RNAcentral is "lncRNA (ENSZALG00000006635.1)". The record is from RNAcentral. Lineage: Eukaryota; Metazoa; Chordata; Aves; Passeriformes; Passerellidae.
CAUGAUUUACAUUUAAAGAGCUGUGAAGAAAUAAAAAUUAAAAAAAAACCCACCCAAAUCAGUAACAUAUCGUAUGUCAAAUUGGGUUUGGACACAGUCUGAAGCAAUUAGGAUUACUUCAGUUAAUAAAAAGAACACUCAUGAAGACUGAUAUGGUAUAAGGGUAUUAAUUUGAAGUGGAGAUUAUAACUUUAUUUUGACAUAUGCUGAAUAUUAGCCAGACAUAUCACAGAAAAAGAAAUUCUGGGAUGACAGCAUGCAGUCUGACUGAGCAUCUGCCUGAAGCAUUCUGAAGCAAAUUCCAGAUUUAAACAUCUGUCCAAGAAAGAGUUCUUGCAGAGGAAGCAAUUAUAAAUCACACAGGAGGCUGAUAGACAAGGAAUGAAUUUCUCCACCCCACAAAAGUCUAAGAGACAGUGCUGUGAAGAGACAAAACAGAAUUUCACAUCUUGAGCUAAAUACUGCAAGAUUUGGGACAGAAUCAGAAGACCCAGAAAAAGUUUCUGUUUUUAUGGAAAUCAAAAUUGUGGUAACAAGAAUUCUUCUGGAAAUGUGGUCCUUUCAUUACUCUUGUAAGAUAAACAGAAAAGACAUGCAUCCAAAAAAAUGAAUUGAUCUUCAACAUAUGCCCUUUGAAGUUAUUGUGAUGAACCAUUAAUAGAGUUCCUCACAGAGAAUCUACUUUUGAUCAGCAGUAGUAUAUGUCAGGGAUUUGUCCUCAAAAACAGAUUCCACCAUAGAACACCUGUCCAGACCCUUCUAUGAAUAUAGUUUCUCUAUACCAAGGAUAAAUCAACAACCUCCACAUGAAUUUGAAACUAAUACUAAAGUGUGCUAUUAAAGUAAUG